This 1190-nucleotide long non-coding RNA is filed under the name Salmo salar (Atlantic salmon). Its description in RNAcentral is "lncRNA (ENSSSAG00000108605.1)". Lineage: Eukaryota; Metazoa; Chordata; Actinopteri; Salmoniformes; Salmonidae. The record is from RNAcentral.
CUAGAUUUCAAGACGAUCAGUGGUCAUUGGGCCGAAAUACAGUCAAUCAAUGAAGCACUGGCCAUAUCAUUGGUGCGCAAUGAGGUCGGAGGUUGGUGUGUUCAAAUCAGUUCCUUUCGGUCAAUAGGUCCCGGGAAAGAACAAUCAAGUUUGGCUGUGCUACUAACAAACAGAGUAUUGCAAUGAAACCAACCAUGACUCGAUAAACACAAGUUUAGAGUGAGAAGUUACGUCCAAAAGUUGAAGGACACCGAAUUCACGACAGAAGCCAUUUACAAAAUGUUUCGUGUUAGGUUAUAAAAAUAGAUUUUAUCGAACAAAACAACCAUUUAUUGUUUCGUCAUGACCUUCUGUAUUGCCAAAGAAGAAGAUUUUCAAAGGGACCCUGUCAUAACCUGACAUGAUUCUCUUCGGAUAUUAAAUGCUUCGGACACUGUAAUGUUGGUGUGGUAACCAUCCCGCUGAUGCACAAUGAUGUCAUCAAGCAGCAGCCUGUGGACUUCUUGGAUCUCGAGAGGGCUUACAGCAACUUCGCCACAGACUUCAUCACCCAGUCUGCCAGGAAGAAAAAACCCUUCUUCCUCUACUACCCCUCCCAUAACCCAGUGAGAAGUACAGCCUGUUCGCUUUCAGGCUGGGCAAAUACAAGGCCCACUUCUACACACGUGGCCACAGUGAGACCACCCCAGACCAGGACUGUCACAUCUCCUUCCUGAAGCCCCAUGAUCCUCCCUUGCUGUUUGACCUGGUCUGACCCCAGUGAGAACUACUCCCUGUCCCUCCUGGGACGCCCUGACUUGCAGGCCCUGCUGCAGAGGACAGGGAUGGUUCGAAGUCUCCAUAGAGCUUGGGGAGAGACAGAUCGGGAAAAUCUAGAGCCCUGCCACUCCCUGCACUGCACCCCUAAAACUUUCUGCUGCCAGUGUGGCUGAUGCACCCUCAAAUGUACAGUGCUACUUGUACUAUACCUUUUGUAAGACUAGUUCUAGUUCUGUGGAUGAGGUAGCCCCAAAAUUAAUAUCUGAAAGUGUGGACAGACUGUUCUUUAAGCCAUAUGAGAGACUACUGUAUGUGGGAAGCAGCACUUGGAAAUGGUACAUCCAGUUCAACGAGUGUCUUAUCUACACGUUCUAAUUCUAUGGAUGAUGGCACCAUCAUGUGGACAAACCCUGCAUUCCAGUGACAACAAC